UAGCUUUGCCUGUUCUGGACAUUUCACAUAAACAGAAUCACACAGUGUGGGCUCUUGUGACUGCCUUCUCUCAGGUGACACAGUGCUUUCAGUGUCUCUUCAUGCUCUAACAUGUAUUGGUGCUUCAUUCUUUUUAUUGCUGAAUAAUAUUCCAUUACAUGGAUGGCCACAUUUUGUUUUCCCAUUUGUUAGAUGGAACACAACCCUACAAUAAACUCUCCAGCCAUAUGUAAAUAAUCGCCAGACUUCAGCUGCCUCUU
Molecule: long non-coding RNA, 260 nt
Filed under: Heterocephalus glaber (naked mole-rat)
Lineage: Eukaryota; Metazoa; Chordata; Mammalia; Rodentia; Bathyergidae
Description: lncRNA (ENSHGLG00100048431.1)
Source: RNAcentral